This is a small nuclear RNA of Sciurus carolinensis (gray squirrel), 105 nucleotides long. Lineage: Eukaryota; Metazoa; Chordata; Mammalia; Rodentia; Sciuridae. The record is from RefSeq and is a predicted model, not a curated record.
GUGCUUGCUUAGGCAGUACAUAAACUGAAAUUAGAACAAGACAGAAGAUGAACAGGGCCUCUGCACAAGCGCGUCACGUAAAUUCGUGAAGCAUUCCACAUUUUU